This 46-nucleotide non-coding RNA is filed under the name Alexandrium minutum. Lineage: Eukaryota; Dinophyceae; Gonyaulacales; Pyrocystaceae. The record is from RNAcentral.
UUUUUUUUUUUUUUUUUUUUUUUUUUUUUUUUUUUUUUUUUUCCAA